Molecule: ribosomal RNA, 465 nt
Filed under: Vreelandella stevensii
Lineage: Bacteria; Pseudomonadati; Pseudomonadota; Gammaproteobacteria; Oceanospirillales; Halomonadaceae
Description: partial 16S ribosomal RNA
Rfam family: Bacterial small subunit ribosomal RNA
Source: RNAcentral
CCUACGGGAGGCUGCAGUGGGGAAUAUUGGACAAUGGGCGAAAGCCUGAUCCAGCCAUGCCGCGUGUGUGAAGAAGGCCUUCGGGUUGUAAAGCACUUUCAGUGGGGAAGAAAGCCUUGGGGCUAAUACCCUCGAGGAAGGACAUCACCCACAGAAGAAGCACCGGCUAACUCCGUGCCAGCAGCCGCGGUAAUACGGAGGGUGCGAGCGUUAAUCGGAAUUACUGGGCGUAAAGCGCGCGUAGGCGGUCUGAUAAGCCGGUUGUGAAAGCCCCGGGCUCAACCUGGGAACGGCAUCCGGAACUGUCAGGCUAGAGUGCAGGAGAGGAAGAGAGAAUUCCCGGGGUAGCGGUGAAAUGCGUAGAGAUCGGGAGGAAUACCAGUGGCGAAGGCGGCCUUCUGGACUGACACUGACGCUGAGGUGCGAAAGCGUGGGUAGCAAACAGGAUUAGAUACCCUUGUAGUC